This 459-nucleotide ribosomal RNA is filed under the name uncultured bacterium. Its description in RNAcentral is "partial 16S ribosomal RNA". It matches the Rfam family "Bacterial small subunit ribosomal RNA", at positions 338 to 795 of the family's 1533-position model. The record is from RNAcentral.
CCUACGGGUGGCAGCAGUGAGGAAUAUUGGUCAAUGGGCGCGAGCUUGAACCAGCCAAGUCGCGUGAGGGAAGACGGUCCUAUGGAUUGUAAACCUCUUUUGUCGGGGAGCAAAAGACGCCACGUGUGGCGUGCCGAGAGUACCCGAAGAAAAAGCAUCGGCUAACUCCGUGCCAGCAGCCGCGGUAAUACGGAGGAUGCGAGCGUUCUCCGGAUUUAUUGGGUUUAAAGGGUGCGCAGGCGGACGAUCAAGUCAGCGGUAAAAUUGAGAGGCUCAACCUCUUCGAGCCGUUGAAACUGGUGUUCUUGAGUGAGCGAGAAGUAUGCGGAAUGCGUGGUGUAGCGGUGAAAUGCAUAGAUAUCACGCAGAACUCCGAUUGCGAAGGCAGCAUACCGGCGCUCAACUGACGCUCCUGCACGAAAGUGUGGGUAUCGAACAGGAUUAGAUACCCUUGUAGUC